AUGUGGGAAACAGGCAAGGAUGGAUGGGAUGGUUCCAGAACAACAGUUUGGCCAGAGAGAGAGAGCUUGGAUCAAAACAAGGCUGGUGGAAAUUUCAGAGUGUUAUGCAACAAGUGCAAGGACACCAGGCACCUGACUAGAGACUGCAAGUUGCCCAACUGCAUCAUUUGUGGUAAGAAUUCUCACAUCACUGAGGAAUGUGCUUGGCUGAAACAAAUCAAGCCAACCCCCAAAUUCAUUGGAUAUGCUGCCAGAGGGUUGGGAGUGCUACUGGUGCAAAAUUCUAAAGAGGUGGUCAGUAGUGAACAAAUUAACCCUAUGGCCACUGUAAACAUCUCUUCUGGGGAGAUUAAUGAGACUAAAUUCUUGGAAGGUUUCAACUACAUGUUCAGCUGGAAUUGGCAAUGGAGAUGCAAAAAACAUGGAGACAAGGCUUACUUGAUGAGAUUUCCCAGCAAAAGCAGACUGGCAGAGCUUCACAAGUUUGGAAAUUUUAACCUGCUGGGGACCAAUGUUGUAAUCAAUGUGGACAGCUGGACAUAUGACACUCAAGCUUUUGGCAACUUACAUAAAGUGUGGGUGUAG
Molecule: ribosomal RNA, 585 nt
Filed under: Triticum aestivum (bread wheat)
Lineage: Eukaryota; Viridiplantae; Streptophyta; Magnoliopsida; Poales; Poaceae
Description: partial small subunit ribosomal RNA
Source: RNAcentral